RNAcentral lists this ribosomal RNA (395 nucleotides) under uncultured bacterium. Its description in RNAcentral is "bacterial SSU rRNA". It matches the Rfam family "Bacterial small subunit ribosomal RNA", at positions 28 to 418 of the family's 1533-position model. The record is from RNAcentral.
GAUGAACGCUAGCGGCAGGCUUAAUACAUGCAAGUCGAGGGGCAGCAGGGUGUAGCAAUACACUGCUGGCGACCGGCAAACGGGUGCGGAACACGUACGCAACCUUCCUUCAAGUGGGGAAUAGCCCAGGGAAACUUGGAUUAAUACCUCGUAACAUUGUGAGAUGGCAUCAUUUUACAAUUAUAGUUCCGACGCCUGAAGACGGGCGUGCGCCUGAUUAGGUAGUUGGCGGGGUAACGGCCCACCAAGCCUUCGAUCAGUAACUGGUGUGAGAGCACGACCAGUCACACGGGCACUGAGACACGGGCCCGACUCCUACGGGAGGCAGCAGUAAGGAAUAUUGGUCAAUGGACGCAAGUCUGAACCAGCCAUGCCGCGUGGAGGAUGAAGGUCCU